GGUAAACUCAGUGGAAGAGUGUCUGCUUUGAAUGCAGAACGUCCCAGGUUCAAUCUCCGGCAUCUUCA
Molecule: transfer RNA, 68 nt
Filed under: Sphaerodactylus townsendi
Lineage: Eukaryota; Metazoa; Chordata; Lepidosauria; Squamata; Sphaerodactylidae
Description: tRNA-Ser
Source: RNAcentral